AGUGCAUGGCAGGCCCCCGCAGAGGAUCAGUGCAGUGGCUGAACACCGGGAAGGAACUGGCGCUUGGAGUCCAGAUAUCUGGAAUACGGACUGAGCUCUGGGAUAAGAACAAAUGAGGAAGAGACAGUCACUGCCCUGGCAGCAAACACCCAUGGCCAGGGUUCCUCUAUCCAUCUGUGGGAAGACCCCAAGUUUGAUACUGAAGAUGUUAAACCAUCUCCAAAGAAAUACAGAAAUAUAUGGAUUCACCGUAGAAGCUGGACCCAGCUCCUCAGAUGCAGCAGAUGGAUUGGCCCACUCUGUAAUGACCCAGGAUGGGGCGGGUGUUCUUCUGCAUGGUGACUGAGAAUGUGAGCCUCAGAAUGAAAUACAGAGAAAUGCAUCUUACCAUCUCCGGUGUCAUGAGGUCUUCAAGAUGGACAGAUGGGUAUUCACUGAGAUCUUCGACCAAAUCUAGGAGAACAUAGUGACAGUCAGUGCAUUGGUGCUGCUGAGGAAUCCCACAAGGAGCCUUGGGGGAUGUGGACCGGGGCUGGAGUGUGUGGAGGUGGGCGGUUGACAAGCUUGGACCGAGCUGUUGCUGGACCAUUCUCCUUGGUGUUGAAGGAUGGCAAAGGAGAAGGGCAGAAGGAAAUGAAAGAGCCUUGGCUUUCUAGCUAGAGCAACUUCAUCAAUGCGAAAUAGUCACCUUAAGAACCGGUUAAUACAGAAAAGCACUGUACUAUAGAAACAGGAAGUACAUUUGUGGCUGCCUAGAUCCAGGGGCAUGGGAGAUGGGAAAAACAGGAGUGACUACUAGUGGGGUUUCUUUGAGGGGGGAAUAAAGAGGUUCUAAGAUGAGAUUGUAACAAUGGUUGCACAACCGUGUAAAUAUAGUAAAAACGCUGAAUCACGUACUUUAAAUGGGUGAGUUGUUUUGCAUGUCAACUAUGUCUAAAUAAAGCUGUUUAAAAAAAAAA
Long non-coding RNA from Homo sapiens (human), 959 nucleotides. RefSeq lists it as uncharacterized. The transcript has 4 exons. NCBI's taxonomy places the organism in Eukaryota, Metazoa, Chordata, Mammalia, Primates, Hominidae. The record is from RefSeq and is a predicted model, not a curated record.